GGCAUGUGCACGCUCUCUUCUGGACUUUCGCCGUAUGGGCGCGGGGCGACCCGCGUCUUCAUAUACCUCUUCGUGUAGAAAGUCUUUGAAUGUUUUUACGCUCAUCGAGUCGUGACUUCUAGGAGACGCGAUUCUUUGAGACAAAAGUUAUUACAACUUUCAGCAACGGAUCUCUUGGCUCUCGCAUCGAUGAAGAACGCAGCGAAUCGCGAUAUGUAAUGUGAAUUGCAGAUCUACAGUGAAUCAUCGAAUCUUUGAACGCACCUUGCGCUCCUCGGUGUUCCGAGGAGCAUGCCUGUUUGAGUGUCAGUAAAUUCUCAACCCCUCUCGAUUUGCUUCGAGCGGGUGCUUGGAUGGUGGGGGCUGCCGGAGACCUGGAUUCGUUCAGGACUCGGGCUCCUCUGAAAUGAAUUGGCUUGCGGUCGACUUUCGACUUUGCAUGACAAGGCCUUUGGCGUGAUAAUGAUCGCCGUUCGCCGAAGUGCACGACAGAAUGGUCCCGUGCCUCUAAUGAGUCGACGCCUUCUGGCGUCUUCCUUAUCGACGUUGACCUC
Molecule: ribosomal RNA, 554 nt
Filed under: Suillus quiescens
Lineage: Eukaryota; Fungi; Basidiomycota; Agaricomycetes; Boletales; Suillaceae
Description: eukaryotic LSU rRNA
Rfam family: 5.8S ribosomal RNA (bases 155-309)
Source: RNAcentral